AACGAACGCUGGCGGCAGGCUUAACACAUGCAAGUCGAGCGAGACCUUCGGGUCUAGCGGCGGACGGGUGAGUAACGCGUGGGAACGUGCCCUUCUCUACGGAAUAGCCCCGGGAAACUGGGAGUAAUACCGUAUACGCCCUUUGGGGGAAAGAUUUAUCGGAGAAGGAUCGGCCCGCGUUGGAUUAGGUAGUUGGUGGGGUAAUGGCCCACCAAGCCGACGAUCCAUAGCUGGUUUGAGAGGAUGAUCAGCCACACUGGGACUGAGACACGGCCCAGACUCCUACGGGAGGCAGCAGUGGGGAAUCUUAGACAAUGGGGGCAACCCUGAUCUAGCCAUGCCGCGUGAGUGAUGAAGGCCUUAGGGUUGUAAAGCUCUUUCAGCUGGGAAGAUAAUGACGGUACCAGCAGAAGAAGCCACGGCUAACUCCGUG
This 433-nucleotide ribosomal RNA is filed under the name uncultured bacterium. RNAcentral's name for it is "partial 16S ribosomal RNA". It matches the Rfam family "Bacterial small subunit ribosomal RNA", at positions 29 to 507 of the family's 1533-position model. The record is from RNAcentral.